RNAcentral lists this ribosomal RNA (627 nucleotides) under Escherichia coli. RNAcentral's name for it is "bacterial SSU rRNA". It matches the Rfam family "Bacterial small subunit ribosomal RNA", at positions 1 to 617 of the family's 1533-position model. Lineage: Bacteria; Pseudomonadati; Pseudomonadota; Gammaproteobacteria; Enterobacterales; Enterobacteriaceae. The record is from RNAcentral.
AAAUUGAAGAGUUUGAUCAUGGCUCAGAUUGAACGCUGGCGGCAGGCCUAACACAUGCAAGUCGAACGGUAACAGGAAGAAGCUUGCUUCUUUGCUGACGAGUGGCGGACGGGUGAGUAAUGUCUGGGAAACUGCCUGAUGGAGGGGGAUAACUACUGGAAACGGUAGCUAAUACCGCAUAACGUCGCAAGACCAAAGAGGGGGACCUUCGGGCCUCUUGCCAUCGGAUGUGCCCAGAUGGGAUUAGCUAGUAGGUGGGGUAACGGCUCACCUAGGCGACGAUCCCUAGCUGGUCUGAGAGGAUGACCAGCCACACUGGAACUGAGACACGGUCCAGACUCCUACGGGAGGCAGCAGUGGGGAAUAUUGCACAAUGGGCGCAAGCCUGAUGCAGCCAUGCCGCGUGUAUGAAGAAGGCCUUCGGGUUGUAAAGUACUUUCAGCGGGGAGGAAGGGAGUAAAGUUAAUACCUUUGCUCAUUGACGUUACCCGCAGAAGAAGCACCGGCUAACUCCGUGCCAGCAGCCGCGGUAAUACGGAGGGUGCAAGCGUUAAUCGGAAUUACUGGGCGUAAAGCGCACGCAGGCGGUUUGUUAAGUCAGAUGUGAAAUCCCCGGGCUCAACCUGG